GACUUCCGCCGUUGGUAGCGGCACAUUAAACCAAUGGAGAAGGAUAAAACGCAAAUGCCGAAGAAGAUCACGAGAGGCAGCAGCACUGUGGUGCCUGGAGGCGAGGCAGAUUGUGCUGAAAGAAGAGAUCGCACAGGUACGUAGGGGCCCUCCCACAAGAGGAAGACAGGGGAAAAAGGAAAAAGAAGAAAACUCCACACUGUUGGAAAUUUCUGCUUUCCAAACAUUUUAGCUAUCUCUUGAAAUAAUGGAAAUUAAACCUCUCCUGACUCAGAGGAAUGAAACGCAAGCCAA
This is a long non-coding RNA of Leopardus geoffroyi (Geoffroy's cat), 294 nucleotides long. RefSeq lists it as uncharacterized. The transcript is spliced from 2 exons. The record is from RefSeq and is a predicted model, not a curated record. Lineage: Eukaryota; Metazoa; Chordata; Mammalia; Carnivora; Felidae.